UUUCCGUAGGUGAACCUGCGGAAGGAUCAUUAUUGUACAAUGGAGGUGCAAGGGCUGUUGCUGACCUUUAAAAGGCUUGUGCACGCCCAAGUACUACUCUCUUACACAUCCAUCUCACCCCUCUGUGCAUCACCGCGUGGGUCCCCCCUUUACGGGGAGGGCUCACGUCUUCACAUGAAACUUUAAUACAGUAUAGAAUGCAUUCUUUUGUUUGUUUGCGGUAACACGCAAUAAAUACAACUUUCAACAACGGAUCUCUUGGCUCUC
This 267-nucleotide unclassified non-coding RNA is filed under the name root metagenome. RNAcentral describes it as "partial contains small subunit ribosomal RNA, internal transcribed spacer 1, and 5.8S ribosomal RNA". The record is from RNAcentral.